GACAUUCGUUCAGUACCUAUAAGGUUCACCUACAGGCAUGUUGUCAAGACUGAGGUGUCUACUUGGGAGAGAUAAUGGACAGCAUGGAAAGACCAGAGUGAGAAAGAAGGAAGCUGGCCCUAGGUCUCACUGCAAAACAUGGAGAAAUAAAUGGUCCUGGGGAAGACACAGUAAGAAAAUCUCCAUUCUCAUUUGGAACAGGCCACAGCCCAGGAUGAGAGCCUCCUUCAGACAGCUGAUGCAGCAGGAGCAUAAAGUAUCACAGGAAAGUGAGCCACACAGGGCAUUGGUGGCAGGACUGAGGCUCUGGACCUUGGCUUCCAGUGUGAAUAGGCCCUGAUCUUUUCUAAUCUGUGCCCCAGCCAGGCUGCUUCUGGGUCUGAUGGCCUUUCCUCCUCACAUAGCAGAUCUAGGGAGAACUGAGGAGUUCAAAGAAGCCACAGACACCUUGGACCCAUGACAUUCUCCACCCUCGGAUCAAGGCCUCCUC
Molecule: non-coding RNA, 490 nt
Organism: Peromyscus maniculatus bairdii (prairie deer mouse)
Lineage: Eukaryota; Metazoa; Chordata; Mammalia; Rodentia; Cricetidae
Source: RefSeq, a predicted model, not a curated record